GUGAGGAAUAUUGGUCAAUGGGCGAGAGCCUGAACCAGCCAAGUCGCGUGAAGGAAGAAGGAUCUAUGGUUCGUAAACUUCUUUUGCAGGGGAAUAAAGUGCGGGACGUGUCCUGUUUUGUAUGUACCCUGAGAAUAAGGAUCGGCUAACUCCGUGCCAGCAGCCGCGGUAAUACGGAGGAUCCGAGCGUUAUCCGGAUUUAUUGGGUUUAACGGGUGCGUAGGUGGUUUGAUAAGUCAGCGGUGAAAGUUUGCAGCUUAACUGUAAAAAUGCCGUUGAAACUGUCGGACUUGAGUGUAAAUGAGGUAGGCGGAAUGCGUGGUGUAGCGGUGAAAUGCAUAGAUAUCACGCAGAACUCCGAUUGCGAAGGCAGCUUACUAAGCUACAACUGACACUGAAGCACGAAAGCGUGGGGAUCAAACAGGAUUAGAUACCCCAGUAGUCC
This 445-nucleotide ribosomal RNA is filed under the name uncultured bacterium. RNAcentral describes it as "partial 16S ribosomal RNA". It matches the Rfam family "Bacterial small subunit ribosomal RNA", at positions 354 to 796 of the family's 1533-position model. The record is from RNAcentral.